AGUGAACGCUGGCGGUAGGCCUAACACAUGCAAGUCGAACGGCAGCACAGUAAGAGCUUGCUCUUACGGGUGGCGAGUGGCGGACGGGUGAGGAAUACAUCGGAAUCUACUUUUUCGUGGGGGAUAACGUAGGGAAACUUACGCUAAUACCGCAUACGACCUACGGGUGAAAGCAGGGGAUCUUCGGACCUUGCGCGAUUGAAUGAGCCGAUGUCGGAUUAGCUAGUUGGCGGGGUAAAGGCCCACCAAGGCGACGAUCCGUAGCUGGCCUGAGAGGAUGAUCAGCCACACUGGAACUGAGACACGGUCCAGACUCCGACGGGAGGCAGCAGUGGGGAAUAUUGGACAAGGGGCGCAAGCCUGAUCCAGCCAUACCGCGUGGGUGAAGAAGGCCUUCGGGUUGUAAAGCCCUUUUGUUGGGAAAGAAAAGCAGCAGGUUAAUACCCCGCUGUUCUGACGGUACCCAAAGAAUAAGCACCGGCUAACUUCGUG
RNAcentral lists this ribosomal RNA (492 nucleotides) under uncultured bacterium. RNAcentral's name for it is "partial 16S ribosomal RNA". It matches the Rfam family "Bacterial small subunit ribosomal RNA", at positions 29 to 507 of the family's 1533-position model. The record is from RNAcentral.